Python bivittatus (Burmese python) is the source of this 2695-nucleotide non-coding RNA. The record is from RefSeq and is a predicted model, not a curated record. NCBI's taxonomy places the organism in Eukaryota, Metazoa, Chordata, Lepidosauria, Squamata, Pythonidae.
AGAUAGGAGCUGAUGAUAAUAGCAGUUUGCUUAAAUCUAACUACUGUGUGGCUUUUGUGAGAUUUUGAAUCAAGGAUGUCUUUAAGAACAUGUUUGGAGUCCAAUCUCAUACAACAUCCAAGGGAAUUCAAUCUGACCGGCUUCUGAUACGUGUGAAGUUCUUUCCAAAUACUUUCACCUUCCAGGACAAUUCUAUUCACUAGAGACAGUUUUCCUUCAUAAUCUUAUUUAGGAGAGAAGUGCCAAAAGGAUCCUCUAAAUUCAAGUUCACUUUCUAUUGGAUAUCAACCUGUCAAAUAUGGCAGCAAGAUUCCAUGGGAAGAACACUGAAAGCCAGAAAGAGUGUUGGAGUCUAGAUUAUCUGCAGAUCAGGUUCUUCCUUUGUAUCCAGAUGAAAGUUACAAGCAUAAGGCACCCACAGAAUAAAAUGUGUGUGCUGUGUAUGUGUAUUUGUAUGUAUGCUGGAUAGGCUUAAAAGGUCCAUCUAGUUCAGUAUGCUGCUUCACAGCAGAUACCAGAUGCCACUGGGAGGUUGUCAAGUAAGACACUAGUUUCUGGCAGCUGAUAUUAAGUGAACUACUGUAUAUUUGUGUUACCAUGUACUUUGCAUACUUCACUGUAUGCUUUGUAGAAAUGUAUUAGCCAGGUUUCAAAAUUCAAGAUUCUUUGAAGGCAGAAUAUAAAAUACAGUGAGGUCCACAUAAAAUAGAUAACUGUUUUCAAGGUUAAGGAGAUACAGUGAUGACAAAGAAAAGCAAUACUGUCAAUUACAUUACUUACCAUUUCAAUCAAUUAAGAUUUGCUUGCAGGGUGGAAGAGAGCAAGGGAAAGUCACUUGUAUAACACCAGAUAUGUAGAGCCUUAUCCUAUUUUUAAAGACCUGUGGGAUUCCUGAAUUCUCCCAUAAUCAAGAUCGUAUUAUUGCAUAGAGAAAAGGAUUAACAAUAGAGCAACUCACAAGUAUUUUAAGUAUUUUAAGAAACAAUCUGGGAUAUGCCUGUCAGAUCUUUGAAUUCUUUAGGAUUGAGACAGAGAUUCUCUUUUCAUUAUGCUAGUUCUUCUGACAUUUCUACAUAGUUGAAGCAAUACAGGUUUUAAUAACAUUACACAAUGAUAUUACUGACUGCACAAUUUUAUUGUUGGAAAUUGCCAUGCGAAUCUAUCAAGCAGAAGGAUAGGGUACAAAUAAAUGGCUGAUUUUUUAUUUAUUUUUUAAACAGGGCGCCUGAUAAUUGUGUAACUCGAAGCUAUCCAAUUGCCAAAUUGAAUCUGGCUGGCAGUCAGCAAUAAAUACAUUCUGAUUGUUUCUUAGAUGGUAAAAACAGUACAGGAAGAAGCAAGUUAAUAGAUGAAUGGAAAAACAGGAAAAACGCUUUUGAUAAUAUUAAAAAUUCCACUGAAACAAAUCUGGUGAUAUCUGCAGAGCUACAAUGUUAAUUCUGAAAUGCACAGCUUGUGUUAUAUGACUACAGUUGUGUAAUUACAACUUGAUCCCCAUAUCAGCAACUAUAGGAUACUGCAUUCUAACUGACAACUACAAUCUUGUAUUGGCUUCACACCCAUCAUAAAAUGCAGGAGAAAGAUUUAAUGGAGGUCUUUAUUUACAUAGCUUUCCCACCCCCCACCCCCACCCCAAGUAGAUCAAGAAGGUGGGAUGUGUGUAAGAAAGGAAACAGAAAGAAAUAUAGGAUAAUGUAGGAUACUUUGCUCUACUUUCUUGCUGUCUCGUGGAGGAGAAAAAAUACGAUGCUCUUGUCACUGAACCAGUUCAGUUUUCCCAUUUAUAAACAAGAAAAUGAAGAGCCUUUUGUCAAAAGUGAUUUCUGCAGAAGCUACUAAGAAUAUUUACUUAGAAAUGCUGCGACAAAGCAGGACAUUGCCCCUUAAGCAAAGAACAGGUCAUUCUGAGACAAAAUAAGACAAGAGAAAAGGAGUAGGAUGAGAAUACACACACACAUCUACUAAUACUAAUGAAGGCUAGAGGAUGACUUGUCACUUGCAGGUGUAAUCAAAGCAUCCAGACAGACAUUGUUAAACAAAGAUCAUCUCAUUCUACUGAAAUGCAUUACAUCUCUUUAGAGCUGUUCACAUACAGGAUACAUUAAGACAGCACAAAUAUUUGUAAAUAAUUCCCUUGAGCUUUAAUGGGCCUUCCAUCUGAAUAAACAGAUUACUCAUUUCUUGGGUUUUCCUGUAUUCUCACCAAUCUGAUCCCUAAUAAGAGAUAUCGGUGACUGGAUAUCCAUGACAUAUUGAUCAACAUAAUCUACCCUUCUGACAGCCGAUUCAAUUGUUAAACUUUAAUUCUGACUUUUAUCUCAUUUGUCCAUUAUCUAACAUUAUUUCCUUUAAUGACAGAUUCACAGGUUGUGGAAACCCUGUGGAUAUAGUGUACCUUGGUCCAGCAAAGCAUUCCAGGUUCCCAUGAUAUCUACACUAAUAAAAAUGCAAAUUAUGUGCAGGAUGAUAUAACUGUUAGAUGAAUUCAUAAUUGGCUGAUUGGAUAUAUCAAGAAAAUACUAAUAAAUGGCUUUGUAUCACCUUGGAGAAUAAUAUUGAGUGGAUUGUCACAGUUUUCUUCUGGGCCCUGUGCUGUUCAACAUUUUUAUUAACGGCUUGGAUAAAGGAGCUGAAAAGAUGAUUAUUAAAUAUGCAGAUAACACAAAACUAGAAGCACUGAAAUUGGCUAAUGUUU